AAACUUACCAGGUCAAGACAUGGGCGUGAUUGACAGGCUAAUGACUUUUCUCGAUUCCAUGGAUGGUGGUGCAUGGUCGCACUUAGUUGGUGCAGUGAUUUGUCAGGUUUAUUCCGGUAACGAACGAGACCUCGGCCUUGUAAAUAGCUAUGCUGCUUACAGGGACAUUGGCGGCUACGCCAAGGAAGCUCGAGGCAAUUGCAGAUCUGGAAUGCCCUUAGAUGUCCUGGGUCGCACGCGUGCUACAAUGACGCCACGAACGAGCUUGCGUGAUGAAAGUUACGCAUAAUCAGCAGUCGGCGUCUUAAGGGAUAGUCUCUUGUAACUGUGGGACUCCAACUAGGAAUGUCUCGUAAGCACAAGUCAACAUCUUGUGUUGAUUACGUCCCUGCUCUUUGUACACACCGCCCGUCGCUCCUACCGAUCGAGUGUUUAGGUGAAUUUGAUGGACGUAAGGAAGUCAAAUAAACCUGAGCACUAGAGGAAGGAGAAGUCGACUC
Molecule: ribosomal RNA, 500 nt
Filed under: uncultured Myrionecta
Lineage: Eukaryota; Ciliophora; Litostomatea; Cyclotrichida; Mesodiniidae
Description: bacterial SSU rRNA
Rfam family: Eukaryotic small subunit ribosomal RNA
Source: RNAcentral